RNAcentral lists this ribosomal RNA (253 nucleotides) under uncultured bacterium. RNAcentral's name for it is "partial 16S ribosomal RNA". It matches the Rfam family "Bacterial small subunit ribosomal RNA", at positions 524 to 776 of the family's 1533-position model. The record is from RNAcentral.
UACGGGGGGGGUAAGCGUUGUUCGGAAUUACUGGGCGUAAAGGGCUCGUAGGCGGCCAACUAAGUCAGACGUCAAAUCCCUCAGCUUAACUGGGGAACUGCGUCUGAUACUGGAUGGCUUGGAUCCGGGAGAGGGAUGCGGAAUUCCAGGUGUAGCGGUGAAAUGCGUAGAUAUCUGGAGGAACACCGGUGGCGAAGGCGGCAUCCUGGACCGGUAUUGACGCUGAGGAGCGAAAGCCAGGGGAGCAAACGGG